UGGGGAAUAUUGCACAAUGGAGGGAACUCUGAUGCAGCGACGCCGCGUGAACGAAGAAGGCUUUCGAGUCGUAAAGUUCUUUUAUAUGGGAAGAUAAUGACGGUACCAUAAGAAAAAGCCCCGGCUAACUACGUGCCAGCAGCCGCGGUAAUACGUAGGGGGCUAGCGUUGUCCGGAAUCACUGGGCGUAAAGGGUUCGCAGGCGGAAAUGCAAGUCAGGUGUAAAAGGCAGUAGCUUAACUACUGUAAGCAUUUGAAACUGCAUAUCUUGAGAAGAGUAGAGGUAAGUGGAAUUUUUAGUGUAGCGGUGAAAUGCGUAGAUAUUAAAAGAAUACCGGUGGCGAAGGCGGCUUACUGGGCUCAUUCUGACGCUGAGGAACGAAAGCGUGGGUAGCAAACAGG
Molecule: ribosomal RNA, 402 nt
Filed under: bacterium
Lineage: Bacteria
Description: partial 16S ribosomal RNA
Rfam family: Bacterial small subunit ribosomal RNA
Source: RNAcentral